RNAcentral lists this ribosomal RNA (253 nucleotides) under uncultured bacterium. RNAcentral's name for it is "partial 16S ribosomal RNA". It matches the Rfam family "Bacterial small subunit ribosomal RNA", at positions 524 to 776 of the family's 1533-position model. The record is from RNAcentral.
UACGUAGGGAGCAAGCGUUGUCCGGAAUCAUUGGGCGUAAAGCGCGCGUAGGCGGCCCGAUAAGUCCGUUGUGAAAGUCAAAGGCUCAACCUUUGAAUGCCGAUGGAUACUGUCGGGCUAGAGUCCGGAAGAGGCGAGUGGAAUUCCUGGUGUAGCGGUGGAAUGCGCAGAUAUCAGGAGGAACACCGGUGGCGAAGGCGGGUCUCUGGGCAGUAACUGACGCUGAGGAGCGAAAGCGUGGGGAGCGAACAGG